GAAGUCCCCUUUUCCCCAUCCGAAAAAAGUGCUCCGGAACUCCCGGCAUGCCGGCGUCGCACUCUCCGGCCGAAUUCUCAGUUUUAUCACCGCCAGUGAUUGCCUCACCGUUUUCACACCACCGGAUGUAGGUUAAGGGGUCCCAUCUCCGUUUUUUCCUCGCCGCUCCGAGGUUCGGCAGAGGUUGUGGCACUGUUUGGUCCUCCAUUGCACGCACGAGUGCCAAAACGAAAUCGUGAGUCUCCGUAGGACACCGCAGUCUCUAGCGAUUUGGAAUUUUAAUUAAGUCUUCCUAAACAAGGACGCGCUGUCCAUAAAAACAGACAGCUUCGCGUGCAGAAUAGUCGGUAGCGUGGAACGGAGUCUUCUGCAAAUACGUUAUAGCACGGUGGCACCUGUUUUUCAACGUAUCACAUGCCUUAGAGAUCGGCUGUUGGUUCUCUUCACUUGGCGGCUUUAGAAUUCCGCAGUGCGGCGGGAAACAGAAAGGCUAGGUUGAAGAACCGAAAGUUUUCCGUAUGCUUUUGCGAAACGAACUGUUUUGCACACGGGACGGCAUUGCAAAGAACUUAAGAGGAACCUUCUACCAGGAAGGGUGCGUGCAAUCUUUUCGUUCAGUAUCUACGGCAGCCAGGCGGACACCUGGAUUGGCAAGAUUGCCGCCAGUGCAGAUUCUUGCUAACUUCUUACGUGUGUGUCCGUUACUAGACGAUGUGAUGGUACAAUCCGGGGACUAGCGAUCUCAAGCGUGUCCAACCAUUUAUCGCCAGCGGAGAUAUCCGAACCAGCGACAAAUAAAUGCUGCAUGAUUGUAUGUUGGUGGCAGCGUUGGAGCAU
RNAcentral lists this long non-coding RNA (837 nucleotides) under Toxoplasma gondii VEG. The record is from RNAcentral. Lineage: Eukaryota; Apicomplexa; Conoidasida; Eucoccidiorida; Sarcocystidae.